Molecule: ribosomal RNA, 505 nt
Filed under: uncultured bacterium
Lineage: Bacteria
Description: partial 16S ribosomal RNA
Rfam family: Bacterial small subunit ribosomal RNA
Source: RNAcentral
GACGAACGCUGGCGGCGUGCCUAAUACAUGCAAGUAGAACGCACAGUUUAUACCGUAGCUUGCUACACCAUAGACUGUGAGUUGCGAACGGGUGAGUAACGCGUAGGUAACCUGCCUGGUAGCGGGGGAUAACUAUUGGAAACGGUAGCUAAUACCGCAUAAUAUUGAUUAUUGCAUGAUAAUUGAUUGAAAGAUGCUAUUGCAUCACUACCAGAUGGACCUGCGUUGUAUUAGCUAGUAGGUGAGGUAACGGCUCACCUAGGCGACGAUACAUAGCCGACCUGAGAGGGUGAUCGGCCACACUGGGACUGAGACACGGCCCAGACUCCUACGGGAGGCAGCAGUAGGGAAUCUUCGGCAAUGGACGAAAGUCUGACCGAGCAACGCCGCGUGAGUGAAGAAGGUUUUCGGAUCGUAAAGCUCUGUUGUAAGAGAAGAACGGGUGUGAGAGUGGAAAGUUCACACUGUGACGGUAUCUUACCAGAAAGGGACGGCUAACUACGUG